AUUGCACCCAUAUCACAUUUUUAGAAAACCUGAGGGGAACUACGGGUUUAGAAUGACUUCGCCUCCGCCUCUUUUCUCGUUCGAUCGUCUACGGCCUCCGCUUCCUCUCUCCUUCGUUCUUCUACGCCCCUGCCUCCGCCUCUGCUUUUUCGAUUGUCUGCCUUCCUCCUCCUCCUCUGGCUUUUCGAUUGUCUACCUUCCUCCUCCUCCUCCUACUUGGCUCUUCUCCUCAGCUAUCAGCUAUUUCAUACCCAGAAGUGUUGGAUCCUGAGCAAGCAGUGAAAGGGCUAUCUGGUGUGAAUUGGAAUAAAUAAAAAAAAUUUGCUGGGUUUUUGAGACUUGUGAUGUUAUUCAUCAGUAUUCAUGCCUGGUUUCUUCUUGCAAUAAUUUUGUUGAUUGUUGUAGGAAACUCCGCUCUCAAACAUAGGCAAUGAACAAUUGAGUUGACAUGCUGCUGGGAGAAUUGUUUGCAAUGCAGAGAAGACUUGUCUCUUACUUUUGUGAUGAUGAACUGGGUUGUAGCAAGCAAUUUUGACAUAAGAGUUGAGUUGAAAUUGAAACUUGCUAUUGAACCAAAAGGGAGCUGCUGAAAGUGGGUCUAAGCAGCAGCAACAACAACCCAACAGACAUGGAUCGAAAGAGAAAGAGGAAGAUUGUGACAACUCUAGUUGCAGUAGAGUUAGAUAAACAACAUUUGUGUGCAUCCAUGAUGUCAGUAACUGUCAUAUAUACUUUGACAGAUGGUACUAUGAAAAAUACCAUUACCGCAUCUGACCAAUGGUCUGGAUGGAGGGAUAGUAAAUAGAAAAUCUAUAUGUUGGGGGUUUUCUGGCUAGCUAAAAAUCUAUUAUAAUGGCAAAACCAGCAGGUGGCCCUAGUGAGAGAGAUCAGCAUGCAGGGAUGGAUGAGGACUAAUUUUGUGUGUAUGACAAUUGACUAUCUUUGCUUGUAUUGCUCUAUGUUAGGGAUCUUUUGUUCCAUUUUAGUAACAAUUUUGUUUAGGAGAAAAAGAAACAUAUUGCAGUUCAUGCUUUGUAAAUGCCACUAUUAUGUUAUGAUGGACACGUGGUAUGCCUUUGUUGGGUAGGUUUUGGAUUGAAACCAUGGUCGAGUGCUUGAGCCAUGUUUAGUGUGAAGCUUGAAUGGAUUUUCUUUUCUGUUGUAUUUGGCCCUUGUCUUUUCAAGCAUGCCAAAAAUCAUCCUAGUUUUGUAAUAUGUGGUUUGUGUCCAAUUAAUUUACUGUGGACCUUGCAUUUUUGUA
Long non-coding RNA from Prunus persica (peach), 1261 nucleotides. RefSeq lists it as uncharacterized. The record is from RefSeq and is a predicted model, not a curated record. NCBI's taxonomy places the organism in Eukaryota, Viridiplantae, Streptophyta, Magnoliopsida, Rosales, Rosaceae. The transcript is spliced from 6 exons.